RNAcentral lists this ribosomal RNA (253 nucleotides) under uncultured bacterium. RNAcentral's name for it is "partial 16S ribosomal RNA". It matches the Rfam family "Bacterial small subunit ribosomal RNA", at positions 524 to 776 of the family's 1533-position model. The record is from RNAcentral.
UACAGAGGUCUCAAGCGUUGUUCGGAUUCAUUGGGCGUAAAGGGUGCGUAGGCGGCGCGGUAAGUCGGGUGUGAAAUCUCGGAGCUUAACUCCGAAACUGCAUUCGAUACUGCCGUGCUUGAGGACUGGAGAGGAGACUGGAAUUUACGGUGUAGCGGUGAAAUGCGUAGAUAUCGUAAGGAACGCCGGUGGCGAAAGCGACGUGCUGGAUCUCUUCUGACGCUGAGGCGCGAAAGCCAGGGGAGCAAACGGG